RNAcentral lists this ribosomal RNA (490 nucleotides) under uncultured bacterium. RNAcentral describes it as "partial 16S ribosomal RNA". It matches the Rfam family "Bacterial small subunit ribosomal RNA", at positions 30 to 507 of the family's 1533-position model. The record is from RNAcentral.
AUUGAACGCUGGCGGCAUGCUUUACACAUGCAAGUCGGACGGCAGCACAGAGAAGCUUGCUUCUGGGGGGGCGAGUGGCGAACGGGUGAGUAAUAUAUCGGAACGUACCGAGUAAUGGGGGAUAACUAAUCGAAAGAUUAGCUAAUACCGCAUAUUCUCUGAGGAGGAAAGCAGGGGACCUUCGGGCCUUGCGUUAUUCGAGCGGCCGAUAUCUGAUUAGCUAGUUGGUGGGGUAAAGGCCUACCAAGGCGACGAUCAGUAGCGGGUCUGAGAGGAUGAUCCGCCACACUGGGACUGAGACACGGCCCAGACUCCUACGGGAGGCAGCAGUGGGGAAUUUUGGACAAUGGGCGCAAGCCUGAUCCAGCCAUGCCGCGUGUCUGAAGAAGGCCUUCGGGUUGUAAAGGACUUUUGUCAGGGAAGAAAAGGCUGUUGCUAAUAUCAAUAGCUGAUGACGGUACCUGAAGAAUAAGCACCGGCUAACUACGUG